RNAcentral lists this ribosomal RNA (628 nucleotides) under Polypedilum aequabe. RNAcentral describes it as "partial 28S ribosomal RNA". It matches the Rfam family "Eukaryotic large subunit ribosomal RNA", at positions 430 to 919 of the family's 3401-position model. The record is from RNAcentral. Lineage: Eukaryota; Metazoa; Arthropoda; Insecta; Diptera; Chironomidae.
CCAAAUAUCUAAACGGAGAAAUUCAAUAUUGCCCUCAACCAGCAAUGUGCACUUUUCUCUUAGUAGGACGCCGUGAUCCAUUAGAAAUUGGUGCACGCCAAGUGCACAGUGGGUCAUCAAUAGGCCGGCGCGAAGUUCAGCGGAACAAAUGGCGAGAUCUUUAACGGUCGCGUGUAUUGCCUGUUGAGCGCGUCGAUACCUGCAAUGACUGUCUGAUGGAUUUUAGAGGCCGUAUCAACGAUGUCAAGGCAUCGGCGCUUGUCGCAGCCCGAUAUGUGUCCGAUCAACGGCGGUUAAAUUUGGGAUACCUUUUGGACCCGUCUUGAAACACGGACCAAGGAGUCUAUCUAGUAUGCGAGUAAAUGGAUAGUUAAUGAAAUCUAUUUGCGCAAUAAACGUGACUGUUUCAUGGGAUUACAACUUGAGCGCCAGCGAUGGUCUCUCGUUUUCCAUCCCGGGGUAUUUUCGUCAACAUAUAGGCGCAAGUUUAUAUGGGAAAUAUACCAUGAGCACACUGGAUACGACCCGAAAGAUGGUGAACUAUGCCUGAUCAGGUCGAAGUCAGGGGAAACCCUGAUGGAGGACCGAAGCAGUUCUGACGUGCAAAUCGAUUGUCAGAAUGGGCAUA